UGUAUGCCCAGCAUUCCUGCCAACUUCC
RNAcentral lists this non-coding RNA (28 nucleotides) under Rattus norvegicus (Norway rat). The record is from RNAcentral. Lineage: Eukaryota; Metazoa; Chordata; Mammalia; Rodentia; Muridae.